UGAACAAUACUUGUAAAGGUCACUCUGCCACGAGAAAUUUAUUAUUAUAACGUAUCGCUCUCGGUUGCAAAAUACGAGAUUCUUAACCGCCAAGUGCAUUUACUAGCCUAGCAAUAUGAGUAAACCGGGCAGUGCUCCUCCGCAGUUCACCUAUGUGCCGCCCCCUUCGGCCCCGCCCUCUUACCAGGAGGCGGUGGGCGGGGUGAAGCCCGUGGGUCCAUAUACGCCCGUGGUGGCGCCCGCAACCAACGCAAAUACCACGAUUGUGACCACGGUUGUGCCCAUUAGUCGCACCUCGACGCACAUGAUCUGUCCAUCGUGCCAUGCCGAGAUCGAGACGACCACACGCACCGAGCCCGGAAUGAUUGCCUACUUGUCCGGAUUUUUGAUUGCCCUGUUCGGAUGCUGGCUGGGAUGCUGCCUAAUACCUUGCUGCAUCGACGACUGCAUGGAUGUCCAUCACUCGUGCCCCAACUGCCGCGCAUAUUUGGGGCGAUACCGUCGAUAGGAUCGAUUGAAUGAAUGAGCAGGUCCAGCGGUUCCGUGGUGUAGAUUGAUUACUUUAACGAAGGCAGAUGGAAAGAGCCAAGGCUUCCCUUAAUCUAACGCUAACUCGCUAAAUUGCUCCGCCGUUUUAUAUUUUGGUUCGCCCAAUCCAUAAUUGUUACGUGUAUGUUUCUGCCACGCUAAAGAUAGUAAUACGUAUACAUUCAAAUAUCCAGCGCUUCGCAGACAGGACAGCCACUACAGAAACUUAAAUAAUAAAUCCGUCUUUCUACGUACCCACAUAUGUACUAGCCUGAUUACGAGCACAAAAGUCGCUUGCGUGUCCAUUUUGAGCAACAGGCCCUUAAAUAUUUGCACAAAUUGUAAAUCUGUUGAAGCCCAUCUUAUGUUUUUUGCACAUUGUUUGAUGAAUAAAUGGCUUAGAAUGUAGUCCAAAAGACAAAAUACAACAUAUUUUUGUAACAAAUUGUAAAUGUCUUUAGCAAAAGUGCAUAUUGUAUACUGUGAAAGUUAAUCUCCCUAAUAAUUAAUCACGAAAUC
This 1047-nucleotide unclassified non-coding RNA is filed under the name Drosophila yakuba. RNAcentral's name for it is "GE20364". Lineage: Eukaryota; Metazoa; Arthropoda; Insecta; Diptera; Drosophilidae. The record is from RNAcentral.